RNAcentral lists this ribosomal RNA (164 nucleotides) under Lilium bosniacum. RNAcentral describes it as "5.8S ribosomal RNA". It matches the Rfam family "5.8S ribosomal RNA". Rfam says of the family: 5.8S ribosomal RNA (5.8S rRNA) is a component of the large subunit of the eukaryotic ribosome. It is transcribed by RNA polymerase I as part of the 45S precursor that also contains 18S and 28S rRNA. Lineage: Eukaryota; Viridiplantae; Streptophyta; Magnoliopsida; Liliales; Liliaceae. The record is from RNAcentral.
UAUAACGACUCUCGGCAACGGAUAUCUCGGCUCUCGCAUCGAUGAAGAACGUAGCGAAAUGCGAUACUUGGUGUGAAUGCAGAAUCCCGUGUUCCUACAGAUCUUUGAACGCAAGUUGCGCCCGAGGCCUUUCGGUUGAGGGCACGCCUGCCUGGGCGUCACGC